AGACUCUCCUCCUGCCCUGGCACCUGCCCAGGCUGCAGUGAGGGGCCAGGCACAUUGUGGUCAGGCCCCCACACUCCCUGGUCUCAGCGCCAGGUGCCCGGGUGACGCCCCCCAUCUCCGCAUCCCCCCAGGGAGGGGCUCUCUCUCUGGGGAGGGAAUGAGUGUGUCCAGCCCCUGCCCCCUCAUCUGCCCCUCCCAGGCUGCUGGGCCUGCUGCCUGCACCUGCAGGCCUGGGAGGUGGAGGGACCGUGCCGAGCUGUGGCCUCCUCGCUGUGCUCCUGCAGUGGUGGCCCUGGCCGGCUCCAGACCAGCAACUGCGAAGCGGAAGAAAGGAGAUGACAACCUAGCGUUCUCCGUGCAGCGAAAGUUCCAAAAUAAAGUUGAGAGAAAACCGUCGUCAGAGAAACAGAACCCAGUUCCUUGCUGCAUGCUUGCACUAAGAGAAAGUGUAGGAGGUGUUCCUCAGCCGAAGUUAAGGACAUCCUUUGGAAGUGACGGAUCCAGGAAUGAGGAAAAUACUGGUGAAUAAGCGGUAAACCUACAUGGACACUGAUUUCGUAACAAGAUUAAGAUAGAGACAGCCAGCGAGAGAGGGAACACAAGCAGGGGGAGUGGGAGAGGAAGAAGCAGGCUCACAGCGGAGGAGCCUGAUGUGGGGCUCGAUCCCAGAACGCCGGGAUCACGCCCUGAGCCGAAGGCAGACGCUUUAACCGCUGUGCCACCCAGGCGCCCCGGAAAUAAAGAAAUAUUUUAAUUAGUAGCUCA
RNAcentral lists this long non-coding RNA (765 nucleotides) under Ursus maritimus (polar bear). Its description in RNAcentral is "lncRNA (ENSUMAG00000024960.1)". The record is from RNAcentral. Lineage: Eukaryota; Metazoa; Chordata; Mammalia; Carnivora; Ursidae.